UAUGAGUCGACUCCUAGGAGUCACAGGCAGAAAAGUCAGAGAGCAGUUUUCGGGUCUGAGAUUCGAGUCGACUCCAGUGGAACGCGAGUCGACUCCGAUGGUUGGUAGGUCGACUCCAAAGAAAGCAAGAGUCGACUCUCAGCGGAACACAAGGAACAAGCCAGAGAGCAUUUUUGGGACUCUGAGAUUCGAGUCGACUCCCGCAUUGCACGAGUCGACUCCGAGACUCCGCGACCAUCAACAGACAGAAAACCAAGUUACUGCCUCUGAGAUUCGAGUCGACUCCCAGACAGCUCGAGCCGACUCUAAGGCAGCGCUACACCAAGAUGACAGAAGGCUGAGUUUCGGAAACUGAGAGCCGAGUUGACUCCGGGGAAGUUCGAGUCGACUCCAAG
Molecule: long non-coding RNA, 395 nt
Filed under: Phoenix dactylifera (date palm)
Lineage: Eukaryota; Viridiplantae; Streptophyta; Magnoliopsida; Arecales; Arecaceae
Description: long non-coding RNA (PDAC_LNC011064)
Source: RNAcentral